CGGCGCGCCGGGGAGGAGCGGGCGCGGCGGGCAGCGCCAUCUGGAGCUGAAAUGAUGGAAGAGAAACCAGGAGGAGGGAACGGGAAGACAUAGGAAAAAGCUUCAAUGCUUUGCUCAGAACAGCUCCACUGGAAAGAAGCAGCCACCACUCACAGGAGGAAACCCUACCUGCCCACGGCUGCAACAUUCCUGCUGCUCAGAGCUGACCAAGCAGUCCUGGCAGGCUGGGAUCCAUCCUCUUCAGAGCCAGUUCCCCACUUUCCACAUGUCACCCUGUGGGGACCUCUUCAGGAAAGAGUCCUCUAUCUCUGUGCCAGGUUAUGCUUGUGUGGAAGAAGGCAAUCUGAAUCCCAA
Molecule: long non-coding RNA, 354 nt
Filed under: Gallus gallus (chicken)
Lineage: Eukaryota; Metazoa; Chordata; Aves; Galliformes; Phasianidae
Source: RNAcentral